AUGAUCCAAAUGAAGGUAUACAUUUUGAUGCAAGAUGAAACUCAAUCCACGAGAAGUCAGCAGAGGACAAAAAGUAGCCAGGUGCAAUUAUCUACUUUUUCCGGCCUAUCGGGUGAAUUUUUUCCAAUAAAGCGUUGACCUAUUUUUUAAAUAUUCAUUUUUACAGCUCAUUUACUACCAUAUAGCUUGCAUUUAAUACGUGUACAGAGUCUAACAAAAGACGAAAUCACUACAUAACCACCAUUUUCUUACGUAUUGAUCCACCCAACUGACAAGAUUGAGGCUAUAAACCACUAUCCCCCUAUGCCCCUCACAGCCGGCAUCAAUUUUCCACAUGUGAGGACUUUUAACCCACUCCCACAGCAGCUCCCAGGACAAGGGUUUACCGAGUCGGUCAAGACUUUGCCACCGCAGCAACCUCCAAUCCAAUUUCUCCAUAACAACCCUGUCCUCGGAAAACCAGGGUCUAUACUACCUCCACCAGUUUCUAUUCCCGCUAUGUUACCCAAGCAAGGACCAGGUGAUAGCACAAUUAGCUCAAUGGACAGUUCGUCAUCAACUCAAAGUUCGAAUGACAAUCCAAUAUGCUCCCCUGGAACAAACACGGCCUCAUAUUCAUCUAAUGACGAAGAACGAAAGACCAGAGACAAAUGUCUUUAUCUCAAACAGCUACUGCAAGAUAAGAAACAGCUUCAGAAUUUUGGCGGAAUGUUUGUUCACAUUGACAGAAUACUAGACGAAGAAAUUGUCAAAGUCAGAUCAGUCUUGUUCCAGAACGGAGACUCCAUGCCUCUCGAACUUCCUGUUGCACAAGGACCAACUGUUAUACUAACAGAAAAAGUUUAUGUUCCAAUCAAAGAACAUCCCGAGUACAAUUUCGUGGGAAGGAUACUCGGACCGCGGGGUUUGACCGCAAAACAACUAGAACAAGAGGCGAAAUGCAAAAUCAUGGUUCGGGGAAAAGGUUCAAUGAGAGAUAAAAAGAAGGAGGAAAUGAACCGAGGAAAACCAAACUGGGAACAUUUGAAUGAUGAUUUGCAUGUCUUAAUCACGGUCGAAGAUACAGAGAAUAGAGCUCACCUCAAGAUGAAACGUGCGGUCGAAGAAAUCAAAAAGCUUCUAGUGCCGGCUGAAGGGGAAGAUGAUUUAAAGAAGAAGCAAUUGAUGGAACUUGCUAUUAUCAAUGGAACAUAUCGUGAUUUCUCUGGACAAUCAGCACAACCAAGACUGAUAACUGCACCACAAGUAUUGUCCAUCCCUGGCAUGAGAUCUCCACCACCCGGUCAACCACCUGCAGGUGUCUUGUCCACUCCAAUCAUCACAAGGCUGCCCAAUGGACAGACUGUGAUAUCAAAUGCAACUGCUGCACCACCACCCCCUCCUCUAAUCUCACCACCAGAUGGAGCACUAUACUACACACCAUUUGAAUAUCCUUACACAGGACUUGUAGCAACACAAGGUGCAUCACUUCUGGAGUAUUCCUUUCCAGAUCCAGCUCUACUAGGUGCGGCGACACCUGGCACUAAAAUAGUACGGCAACGAACCGAUACCCGGGUGCACCCCUACCAGAGGUCACCAGCUGCCACUAACUAGCGUUGUCCUAAAACGUUGCUUUUUGGACUGUGUCGUCUGACCAAAGAUUAACUAACAUUUAAAAAAAAAAAUUUAAAACUGGAUGAGAUAUUAAUAUUAAUUAAUAAUGUUCCUUUUACUUAAAUUGUAUUAAUUUUAAUUACAGUAGUUUUGAAAUGUGAUAAUUUUACAGACAUAGUAGAUUUUUUAUUUUUCCAAUGAUUGCAUGUUUCGUAGCCGAAGUAACUUGCCCUCGCUACAUUAAUUCAUUUUUUAGAAAAACAUUUACAGUCAUGUUUUCGAGACUUUGAAAUUUAAAUUUUUUAUCUUCAAAUGUUUUUUUGGCCGAAUUCUACACAAAUUUAUAGUUUGGAUAAAAAAAUUGAACAAAAUUUUCUUUUGAUAUAAAUUUAAAAAAACUCAAUAAUGAACACAAAUUAUUCUUGCCACUUGUAGAUUCCCAGCCAGAAAAUGUUAUAAAUAAAAUAAUUUGUCAUAAAUCUUGUUACUGGCUUGCGUCAUCAGUCAAUAACAUAUUUUUAGGGCCAAAUGGCCCAAAAUAUUCUCUGGCUGGGGGCCUUUUUUGCUCGUUUUUGACCUCCUAAUAAGCUUACCUAAUAUUUAAAAAAUGGUGGAUAAAAAUUUCUGUAUCAUUAACAAACCGCUGAUUUGUUUUGAAAUAUUUUUUUAAAAGAAAUCACUGAUAAGUGCCUUUUCAUAUAGUUUCACCAUUAUUCUACUUAUUAUUCCUAUUAUUACAUCAUUUUUUUCGUUGUUGUGGUAGCAAAACAAGCUAUAAAAAAUUCACAAUUCAGUGCCUUCCAUGGUAAAAUUUACGGCAUAACAUUAAACAAAAAUUUACUCAAUGUUGCACGAAUCAUUCUACGCACAUGGACAUGAUUGUAUCAUUUUUCAUAAAACAAACUGAAAAUAAUGUUAUCAUCAACGUGUGACUGUUAAUAACAAUAAUACCAAUUUUAAUGUGUUAUAAAUGGAUUUUGAAAUCUCAAUUUAAUAUAGUUUACCUUGGUUUAUGAAAUUUGAAAAAAAAAAUAUCAAAUACCUUCGAUUAAUUUAUUCAUCUCUGCGUUAUAUACAAAUUUUAAAAUGUUUUUGAUCUUAUUGAAUGUUGUAAAGCAGCUUAACAGUCACUUAUUGUUAUUACGUUGUGCCGUAUUACUUAACCAAAAGCACUAUUCAUACCAUCACUUAUACAUUCUAUAUAUACAUACAUAUUCUUUCAAUAUCUUUACAUAACAAAAAACACUUUUUCUACCUGAUGUAUUCUUUCUCUUUGCUUGUGCACACUGGCGCGCUAGAACAGCGGCGAUUGAUCUCCUAACAUCGUUUGGUGUCGGUGACUAAACAUUCUUCAUCGUGUGGAUGAAGCCUAACACUCACACAUUAAGAAUUAUGAUUGGAGUUUGUGAUGAUGCCGCAAUAUGCACCACUUCUCCUCGCUAACACCUACUCUUCAUAUAACAUUCUUCGCAGCUAAUGCAUUUCAAGUUCCUGGUGUGGUUCUAACAUAGAACAUAACAUCUGAUUCUACAAAAGGUUCUCUGCCGCCAAUCUGCCUCAUCGUGACUGAAAAAAGAUGUAAAGAAAUUUCACAAUGGAAAAAAAAAAACAUUUCUUCUCAAUUUUUCUGUAUCAUUGUGUUAUUCUAUUUUCCUUUUGUUAUAUAUUCAAUUUUAGAAAAAAAUGCAUUGUGGGAUAAUAGUGGCAUGGUCCAUUUCCUAUUACAUUGCAUUUAUUAUCAGAUCUUACUUGAUCAAGGUUAUGUUAUGCUUGGGCCAUGGUUGUACAGUGCUGGGCUGUCUUAAUUAAGCAUUAAUAUACCGAUGCUUGGUUUUGAUAUGUCGGCUUUGUAGAAUUGAUCAUGCUUGGUCAGGUAUAAUCUGUAUAAAGUUUGAAUUUUAACUUGUCAUUACCUAUUAUGUUUUAUUUUUGUUUGGUAUAGAUUUUCACUUUAUUUUCUCUUCUUUUUUUGUAAAUUUCAUAUAUUUGUACCGAUUUCAGUCAACCACCGCAGUAAUUUUGACUAAAUUUUCUACGAUUUUUCGAUUUUGAUUGAAACAAAGCAAAAGCUGUUUUUCUAACAAGAUCUGGAUUAGUAAUUUUUAAAAAUACUGUAGAUGUUUUAUGGCUAGUUAUUAUUAGCCUUAUCUUCGACUUAUAUCUCAAAUUUUCAGUUUCCUGUAACUUUUCUAGCAAAAAUUUUAGCUUGCCCGGGGGCUACAUAACAAAAUGGACUUAAUUCUGUAAAUUAUGAAAUACUUUCACAAAAAUUUAAUUCCUUACGAAGAUAAUGAAAUUUUUCACAUGCGAUUUUAUUAAAAAUCAUGUUCUAUCGUGGUAAUGUUUGUUUCGGAUUUUAUGCGUUUUUAAACAUUUUAUUAAUUUAAAUCAUGUACCAUCAUUUGUUUAGGAAACGCAAUUGAUAUUACACUAGAAUUUAUAUUAAUAAGUUGGAUUUUUAACAAAUUUUAGGAUUAGAAUUUCUUCAAAAAUAUGUUUGAUAUUGUUGAAUAUUAACUUGGUGCUCAAUGGUUUCAAACAUAUGGUUAUUAUGGUUUUGAAUCUCGUUAAAUUAUCACUUUUAUGAAAUCUCUAAUUUUAUAAAAUAAUAUACCAAUGAUCAAGCAAGUUGAAUCAAUAAAAAAUGAUUGGGGUUUGAAAAAUAUUUACAGAUCAAUGUACAGGGUGUUCAUACAAUUUUUAUUUUUUUUUUAAUUACAAAGAGAAUUUACGAUACCAUAUAUAGUAUGUUGACCUCUACAGUUAUAUUAAAUAAAGUAAAAAAUUUGAAGAAAUACUGAAUAAGAUCUGGUUAAGAUAUAUUGAGAACUGACUUCAUAACAAAAUUGAAAUUGCAACAGGACUUAUGAACACCCUGUAUAUCGAAUACCAAAAAAUUAACAUUUUUUGAUCCUCGUUUGCUUUCAUUAUUUUUUUUUUCAAAAACACAAAACAGCCGCAAAAUUGCCCCUUAUCAUGUCAAAGUGUUGUUUUUGCAUCAGCAGUAAAGUCAAUACUAUAGCUUUACUCGUUUUACACAAUACUUGUUCAAAUAGUAGUAACUGCGUUCUUCCUUUCUUUUUAAUGGUUCGAUUAGAUUGAAUGAUAUUUUUGCACCCAAUAUUACACAACUUUUGCCCUUACCUUGCCCAACUUUUAUUAAACAAAAAUGGCCUUCCAUUUAGUUAGUAAAUAUUUCAUACCAAAUUGUGUCCACUACUGGUCACUUUUUAAAGAGUUGCAAAAUUUUGGUCAUAUUCUUGUGUAUGGAAUGUUCAGUAUACCUGCAUGACCAAAGUAUUUAAAUACCACAAAUAAAUCUAUGUUAUAAAAAGUAUUUGUUUAAUCAUGUUCUCUCCUGCUUCGAUAUUUUCUGUUUCAAACCUUCAUGAAGCAUUUCAGCUUUUCUAAGUAUUCCACUACUAUUAAUAGUGUUGUCAUAUGAACCAGAAAUGCAGUGUUUUUUCAAGCCGCUUCCACUUUUGUUUACGCAUUUUUCUGAUUUCAAUGAAGUAUCUAUCUUUACAAAAUGUAAUUUUUGAAUUCCACUGGUAAUAGAGAGGUGCUUAAAGGAGACUGUCCCAUUUUGUUGAAAGUCAAGAUGCAUGGUUUUAAAUAGGUGCUAUUGAAAUUAAAAUUGAGCGGUAAAAUGUCUCUAAAUUUUCACAAUAAUGUACCUUAAGUUAUACCCCUGCACAGCUAAAAAUUUACCUUCAAAUGUAUUCCGAUAGACUGCGUGUUUUACCUUCUAAUGUACUACCUAAAAAUAGUUCUGAUGUCUAUGCAGUGCAUGGGCCAAUGAUAAACCAAGGCUUUUUUAAUCUGUGGCCCUAUAUAAUAAUAUGAUAUAACUUAGAUGAUAUCAUACAUUCCCUUCAAGAAAUGGUUUCUUCCUAAAUAUUGCGAAAUUGUGUGGUAGAACAAUGUUUCAUCAUCACUAUUUCGCCUCGUUUUUCAUUUUUCGUAAUUUGAUAUGUGUGAUGAAAUGCCACUAAUGAUAUGUAAUAAACAUUCAUAUUAUA
Styela clava is the source of this 5615-nucleotide RNA transcript. It is a transcript of the gene named KH domain-containing RNA-binding protein qki.S-like, with no coding region annotated. The record is from RefSeq and is a predicted model, not a curated record. NCBI's taxonomy places the organism in Eukaryota, Metazoa, Chordata, Ascidiacea, Stolidobranchia, Styelidae.